ACACGUCCCUGGCAGAGGAGACGCCAUGAUCAGCAUGGUGGUUUUCUCUCAAGCCUUCACCUUGAGGUGCAAGGCCCAAUCAGUUGCACUCCAGAUGUGCUGACCCUGUGAUCUCCCCAAGUGCGGAAAACUCAGCUGUAUAAUCUGUGGUAGUGGGUUCAGCAUUCGUGCUCUGCCCUG
RNAcentral lists this small nuclear RNA (180 nucleotides) under Octodon degus (degu). RNAcentral's name for it is "U1 spliceosomal RNA (ENSODEG00000021034.1)". It matches the Rfam family "U1 spliceosomal RNA". Rfam says of the family: U1 is a small nuclear RNA (snRNA) component of the spliceosome (involved in pre-mRNA splicing). Lineage: Eukaryota; Metazoa; Chordata; Mammalia; Rodentia; Octodontidae. The record is from RNAcentral.